GGGUCGGGAUAUGAUGUCGGCUCGCUUCCGGGUGUUCGGGAAUCAGGUUAAAGGCCUGUACUGCCCCCGCAACGGUAGGCGAGUGAGGGCGCCCCACGCAUGGCCACUGCGCUCAUCGCAACGAUGAGCGCGGGAAGGCGGGACGCCAAGACUCGCGAGUCCGGAGACCGGCCGGGAAGCCUUCUCGCCA
Molecule: non-coding RNA, 190 nt
Filed under: Betaproteobacteria bacterium
Lineage: Bacteria; Pseudomonadati; Pseudomonadota; Betaproteobacteria
Source: RNAcentral